RNAcentral lists this ribosomal RNA (980 nucleotides) under Porphyromonas gingivalis. RNAcentral's name for it is "bacterial SSU rRNA". It matches the Rfam family "Bacterial small subunit ribosomal RNA", at positions 28 to 998 of the family's 1533-position model. The record is from RNAcentral. Lineage: Bacteria; Pseudomonadati; Bacteroidota; Bacteroidia; Bacteroidales; Porphyromonadaceae.
GAUGAACGCUAGCGAUAGGCUUAACACAUGCAAGUCGAGGGGCAGCAUGAUCUUAGCUUGCUAAGGUUGAUGGCGACCGGCGCACGGGUGCGUAACGCGUAUGCAACUUGCCUUACAGAGGGGGAUAACCCGUUGAAAGACGGACUAAAACCGCAUACACUUGUAUUAUUGCAUGAUAUUACAAGGAAAUAUUUAUAACUGUAAGAUAGGCAUGCGUCCCAUUAGCUUGUUGGUGAGGUAACGGCUCACCAAGGCAACGAUGGGUAGGGGAACUGAGAGGUUUAUCCCCCACACUGGUACUGAGACACGGACCAGACUCCUACGGGAGGCAGCAGUGAGGAAUAUUGGUCAAUGGGCGAGAGCCUGAACCAGCCAAGUCGCGUGAAGGAAGACUGUCCUAAGGAUUGUAAACUUCUUUUAUACGGGAAUAACGGGCGAUACGAGUAUUGCAUUGAAUGUACCGUAAGAGUAAGCAUCGGCUAACUCCGUGCCAGCAGCCGCGGUAAUACGGAGGAUGCGAGCGUUAUCCGGAUUUAUUGGGUUUAAAGGGUGCGUAGGUUGUUCGGUAAGUCAGCGGUGAAACCUGAACGCUCAACGUUCAGCCUGCCGUUAAAACUGCCGGGCUUGAGUUCAGCGGCGGCAGGCGGAAUUCGUGGUGUAGCGGUGAAAUGCAUAGAUAUCACGAGGAACUCCGAUUGCGAAGGCAGCUUGCCAUGCUGCGACUGACACUGAAGCACGAAGGCGUGGGUAUCAAACAGGAUUAGAUACCCUGGUAGUCCACGCAGUAAACGAUGAUUACUAGGAGUUUGCGAUAUACCGUCAAGCUUCCACAGCGAAAGCGUUAAGUAAUCCACCUGGGGAGUACGCCGGCAACGGUGAAACUCAAAGGAAUUGACGGGGGCCCGCACAAGCGGAGGAACAUGUGGUUUAAUUCGAUGAUACGCGAGGAACCUUACCCGGGAUUGAAAUGUAGAUGACGG